Molecule: transfer RNA, 77 nt
Filed under: Shewanella putrefaciens
Lineage: Bacteria; Pseudomonadati; Pseudomonadota; Gammaproteobacteria; Alteromonadales; Shewanellaceae
Description: tRNA-Asp
Source: RNAcentral
GCUCAACUUUAACGCGAAAUGGCGAGUGUUCCCCGCGCUACUGAUCAUCAGUCUAGGGCUGACUGGAUGUAGCGAAC